Entelurus aequoreus (snake pipefish) is the source of this 1830-nucleotide long non-coding RNA. RefSeq lists it as uncharacterized. The transcript has 3 exons. The record is from RefSeq and is a predicted model, not a curated record. NCBI's taxonomy places the organism in Eukaryota, Metazoa, Chordata, Actinopteri, Syngnathiformes, Syngnathidae.
GUCUUCCUAUGUCUAGCAUUAAAAGAUUACAGUUGGUACAAAAUGCGGCUGCUAGACUUUUGACAAGAACAAGAAAGUUUGAUCAUAUUACGCCUAUACUGGCUCACCUGCACUGGCUUCCUGUGCACUUAAGAUGUGACUUUAAGGUUUUACUACUUACGUAUAAAAUACUAGACGUCUAGCUCCAGCCUAUCUUGCCGAUUGUAUUGUACCAUAUGUCCCGGCCAGAGCUGGCCCAAGGCAUAAGCGUACUAAGCGCUUGCUUAGGGCCCCGCGGCCACCAGGGGGCCCCCAAAAUAAAUUAAGAAAAAAUUCUUAUUUUUUAUUUUUUGCAUGUACGAGUCUGACUGUUGAUUUCUAAAUGAUCAAAGAUAUAUUAUUGUACAAAAACACAAUUUUAGGUCAACAGAGUGCUGCUGCUGAUCUAGGCCUAGUGAUUCUUCCUGCCUCUCUUUAAAUGUAAAACUGCCUCUGCUGCACCUGUGACGUUUGCCGCCUGCCGUGCAAUGCCAGUGCGCACUGGGCAUCAAAAGCGCAGAUAGAGGAAAAACAAUGUCACAAAAAAGGACAUAUCCUUCAGGUGCAGAAAAAAGGAAGAAGAAAGUGGAAGAGGAGAAAAAAUGCCAUGAUAAAGGAGCGUUGUUAAAAUACUUUGGAGGCACAGAAUCAGCCCAGAGCCAGUCCACAUCCUCAGGCUCAACUGUGAGUCAUCACUCACAGGUCCAUCUCCAUCCUCUACAGUGCUCUCUCACACACCUCCAUCCUCUGUGCCCACUGUCCCCUCCAUGUCUGAAACCACAGCUGAUUUAUCUAGUAAGUUAACUGCAAAACUUAUUUAACUUGAAUUUAACUGAAUUUAACCUCAGUAGACUGCGCUCUUUUUGUACAAAGUAAACUUUAAAUAUGAACAAUUAACUAAAAAUAUAAACUAGUAAUUAAAGACUAAUAUGUACAAGACUGAUGAGACAAGAUGACACUUUUACUGUAAAUACAAAGCUUUAUCACUUGGACUGUUCAACCCCAGGCCACUCUUGUAGCUGAAUGUUUUCUACAUUUUAAGAUUAGGAACCAUAUGUGGCACUCUGGACAUCAUUCGUUCAUUCAUUGGUAUUAUUUAUGUUCUUAACUGGGCCACCCCCAUAUCUUUAUAAAUGACAUGUCAUUUGUAAAGACAUGCCAGGCUGACAAUAGAAUAAUGUAAACAACACUGCCAGAGCCGCAAUGAGUUUAUAGUAGGUGUGUGAAUGAUCAACAAUCAAUAUUAUUUGCAGAAAUAGAGGGCCCCAAAAUCAAAUUUUGCUUAGGGCCCCAUGGAGGCUUGGGCCGGCACUGGUCCCGGCAAGAAAUCUGCGUUCAAAGAACUCCGGCUUAUUAGUGAUUCCCAGAGCCCAAAAAAAGUCUGCGGGCUACAGAGCAUUUCUAUUCGGGCUUCAGUACUAUGGAAUGCCCUCCCGGUAACAGUUAGAGAUGCUACCUCAGUAGAAGCAUUUAAGUCCCAUCUUAAAACUCAUUUGUAUACUCUAGCCUUUAAAUAGACCCCCUUUUUAGACCAGUUGAUCUGCCGUUUCUUUUCUUUUCUCCUCUGCCCCCCUCUCUCUUGUGGAGGGGGAGAGAUACACAGGUCCGGUGGCCAUGGAUGAAGUGCUGGCUGUCCAGAGUCGGGACCCGGAGUGGACCGCUCGCAUGUGCAUCGGUUGGGGACAUCUCUGCGCUGCUGACCCGUCUCCGCUCGGGACGGUUUCCUGCUGGCCCCACUAUGGACUGGACUCUCACUAUUAUGUUAGAUCCACUAUGGACUGGACUUUCACAAUAUUAUGUCAGACCCACUCG